Molecule: ribosomal RNA, 455 nt
Filed under: uncultured bacterium
Lineage: Bacteria
Description: bacterial SSU rRNA
Rfam family: Bacterial small subunit ribosomal RNA
Source: RNAcentral
GGUGAAUGCUGGCGGCGUGGAUAAGUCAUGCAAGUCAAGGGGGCCCGCAAGGGCAACCGGCAAACGAGGUAGUAACACGUAGGUAGACCCCCCCAGAGUCGGGCAUAGCCAGCCGAAAGGUUGGGUAAUUCCCGAUAGUCCCGAAAGAGUAAAGGUUUUUCGCUCUGGGAGUUGCCUGCGUAGUAUCAGCUAGUUGGUAGGGUAAUGGCCUACCAAGGCUACGACGCUUAGGGGAGCUGAGAGGCUGACCCCCACCGAUGGAACUGCGACACGGUCCAUACUCCUACGGGAGGCUGCAGACGAGAAUAUUCCGCAAUGGGCGAAAGCCUGACGGAGCGACGCCGCGUGAUUGAUGAAGUGCUUCGGUACGUAAAGAUCUUUUAUCGGGGACGAAGUUUAUUGACGGUACCCGAUGAAUAAGGGGCUCCUAACUCUGUGCCAGCAGCCGCGGUAAU